CCUACGGGUGGCAGCAGUGAGGAAUAUUGGUCAAUGGACGAGAGUCUGAACCAGCCAAGUAGCGUGAAGGAUGACUGCCCUAUGGGUUGUAAACUUCUUUUAUAUGGGAAUAAAAUGUUCCACGUGUGGGAUUUUGUAUGUACCAUAUGAAUAAGGAUCGGCUAACUCCGUGCCAGCAGCCGCGGUAAUACGGAAGGUCCGGGCGUUAUCCGGAUUUAUUGGGUUUAAAGGGAGCGUAGGCCGGCUUUUAAGUCAGCUGUGAAAGUCCGCGGCUCAACCGUGGAAUUGCAGUUGAAACUGGAGGCCUUGAGUGCACACAGGGAUGCCGGAAUUCAUGGUGUAGCGGUGAAAUGCUUAGAUAUCAUGAAGAACUCCGAUCGCGAAGGCAGCUUACCAAGCUACUUCUGACGUUGAGGCACGAAAGCGUGGGGAGCAAACAGGAUUAGAUACCCUUGUAGUC
This 460-nucleotide ribosomal RNA is filed under the name uncultured bacterium. Its description in RNAcentral is "partial 16S ribosomal RNA". It matches the Rfam family "Bacterial small subunit ribosomal RNA", at positions 338 to 795 of the family's 1533-position model. The record is from RNAcentral.